CGAGCGGACAGAAGGGAGCUUGCUCCCGGAUGUUAGCGGCGGACGGGUGAGUAACACGUGGGUAACCUGCCUGUAAGACUGGGAUAACUCCGGGAAACCGGAGCUAAUACCGGAUAGUUCCUUGAACCGCAUGGUUCAAGGAUGAAAGACGGUUUCGGCUGUCACUUACAGAUGGACCCGCGGCGCAUUAGCUAGUUGGUGAGGUAACGGCUCACCAAGGCGACGAUGCGUAGCCGACCUGAGAGGGUGAUCGGCCACACUGGGACUGAGACACGGCCCAGACUCCUACGGGAGGCAGCAGUAGGGAAUCUUCCGCAAUGGACGAAAGUCUGACGGAGCAACGCCGCGUGAGUGAUGAAGGUUUUCGGAUCGUAAAGCUCUGUUGUUAGGGAAGAACAAGUGCAAGAGUAACUGCUUGCACCUUGACGGUACCUAACCAGAAAGCCACGGCUAACUACGUGCCAGCAGCCGCGGUAAUACGUAGGUGGCAAGCGUUGUCCGGAAUUAUUGGGCGUAAAGGGCUCGCAGGCGGUUUCUUAAGUCUGAUGUGAAAGCCCCCGGCUCAACCGGGGAGGGUCAUUGGAAACUGGGAAACUUGAGUGCAGAAGAGGAGAGUGGAAUUCCACGUGUAGCGGUGAAAUGCGUAGAGAUGUGGAGGAACACCAGUGGCGAAGGCGACUCUCUGGUCUGUAACUGACGCUGAGGAGCGAAAGCGUGGGGAGCGAACAGGAUUAGAUACCCUGGUAGUCCACGCCGUAAACGAUGAGUGCUAAGUGUUAGGGGGUUUCCGCCCCUUAGUGCUGCAGCUAACGCAUUAAGCACUCCGCCUGGGGAGUACGGUCGCAAGACUGAAACUCAAAGGAAUUGACGGGGGGCC
RNAcentral lists this ribosomal RNA (877 nucleotides) under Bacillus aerophilus. Its description in RNAcentral is "bacterial SSU rRNA". It matches the Rfam family "Bacterial small subunit ribosomal RNA", at positions 63 to 922 of the family's 1533-position model. The record is from RNAcentral. Lineage: Bacteria; Bacillati; Bacillota; Bacilli; Caryophanales; Bacillaceae.